RNAcentral lists this ribosomal RNA (2902 nucleotides) under Klebsiella pneumoniae. RNAcentral's name for it is "23S ribosomal RNA". It matches the Rfam family "Bacterial large subunit ribosomal RNA". Lineage: Bacteria; Pseudomonadati; Pseudomonadota; Gammaproteobacteria; Enterobacterales; Enterobacteriaceae. The record is from RNAcentral.
GGUUAAGCGACUAAGCGUACACGGUGGAUGCCCUGGCAGUCAGAGGCGAUGAAGGACGUGCUAAUCUGCGAAAAGCGUCGGUAAGGUGAUAUGAACCGUUAUAACCGGCGAUGUCCGAAUGGGGAAACCCAGUGUGAUUCGUCACACUAUCGUUAACUGAAUACAUAGGUUAACGAGGCGAACCGGGGGAACUGAAACAUCUAAGUACCCCGAGGAAAAGAAAUCAACCGAGAUUCCCCCAGUAGCGGCGAGCGAACGGGGAGCAGCCCAGAGUCUGAAUCAGCUUGUGUGUUAGUGGAACGGUCUGGAAAGUCCGACGGUACAGGGUGAUAGUCCCGUACACCAAAAUGCACAGGUUGUGAACUCGAAGAGUAGGGCGGGACACGUGGUAUCCUGUCUGAAUAUGGGGGGACCAUCCUCCAAGGCUAAAUACUCCUGACUGACCGAUAGUGAACCAGUACCGUGAGGGAAAGGCGAAAAGAACCCCGGCGAGGGGAGUGAAAAAGAACCUGAAACCGUGUACGUACAAGCAGUGGGAGCACCUUCGGGUGUGACUGCGUACCUUUUGUAUAAUGGGUCAGCGACUUAUAUUCUGUAGCAAGGUUAACCGUAUAGGGGAGCCGCAGGGAAACCGAGUCUUAACUGGGCGUUAAGUUGCAGGGUAUAGACCCGAAACCCGGUGAUCUAGCCAUGGGCAGGUUGAAGGUUGGGUAACACUAACUGGAGGACCGAACCGACUAAUGUUGAAAAAUUAGCGGAUGACUUGUGGCUGGGGGUGAAAGGCCAAUCAAACCGGGAGAUAGCUGGUUCUCCCCGAAAGCUAUUUAGGUAGCGCCUCGUGAAUUCAUCUUCGGGGGUAGAGCACUGUUUCGGCUAGGGGGUCAUCCCGACUUACCAACCCGAUGCAAACUACGAAUACCGAAGAAUGUUAUCACGGGAGACACACGGCGGGUGCUAACGUCCGUCGUGAAGAGGGAAACAACCCAGACCGCCAGCUAAGGUCCCAAAGUCAUGGUUAAGUGGGAAACGAUGUGGGAAGGCACAGACAGCCAGGAUGUUGGCUUAGAAGCAGCCAUCAUUUAAAGAAAGCGUAAUAGCUCACUGGUCGAGUCGGCCUGCGCGGAAGAUGUAACGGGGCUAAACCAUGCACCGAAGCUGCGGCAGCGACACUAUGUGUUGUUGGGUAGGGGAGCGUUCUGUAAGCCUGCGAAGGUGACCUGUGAGGGUUGCUGGAGGUAUCAGAAGUGCGAAUGCUGACAUAAGUAACGAUAAAGCGGGUGAAAAGCCCGCUCGCCGGAAGACCAAGGGUUCCUGUCCAACGUUAAUCGGGGCAGGGUGAGUCGACCCCUAAGGCGAGGCCGAAAGGCGUAGUCGAUGGGAAACAGGUUAAUAUUCCUGUACUUGGUGUUACUGCGAAGGGGGGACGGAGAAGGCUAUGUUAGCCGGGCGACGGUUGUCCCGGUUUAAGCAUGUAGGCUGGUUAUCCAGGCAAAUCCGGAUAAUCAAGGCUGAGGUGUGAUGACGAGGCACUACGGUGCUGAAGUAACAAAUGCCCUGCUUCCAGGAAAAGCCUCUAAGCAUCAGGUAACAUCAAAUCGUACCCCAAACCGACACAGGUGGUCAGGUAGAGAAUACCAAGGCGCUUGAGAGAACUCGGGUGAAGGAACUAGGCAAAAUGGUGCCGUAACUUCGGGAGAAGGCACGCUGGUGUGUAGGUGAAGUCCCUGCGGAUGGAGCUGAGACCAGUCGAAGAUACCAGCUGGCUGCAACUGUUUAUUAAAAACACAGCACUGUGCAAACACGAAAGUGGACGUAUACGGUGUGACGCCUGCCCGGUGCCGGAAGGUUAAUUGAUGGGGUUAUCCGUAAGGAGAAGCUCUUGAUCGAAGCCCCGGUAAACGGCGGCCGUAACUAUAACGGUCCUAAGGUAGCGAAAUUCCUUGUCGGGUAAGUUCCGACCUGCACGAAUGGCGUAAUGAUGGCCAGGCUGUCUCCACCCGAGACUCAGUGAAAUUGAACUCGCUGUGAAGAUGCAGUGUACCCGCGGCAAGACGGAAAGACCCCGUGAACCUUUACUAUAGCUUGACACUGAACAUUGAGCCUUGAUGUGUAGGAUAGGUGGGAGGCUUUGAAGCGUGGACGCCAGUCUGCGUGGAGCCAACCUUGAAAUACCACCCUUUAAUGUUUGAUGUUCUAACGUUGGCCCCUUAUCGGGGUUGCGGACAGUGUCUGGUGGGUAGUUUGACUGGGGCGGUCUCCUCCCAAAGCGUAACGGAGGAGCACGAAGGUUAGCUAAUCCUGGUCGGACAUCAGGAGGUUAGUGCAAUGGCAUAAGCUAGCUUGACUGCGAGCGUGACGGCGCGAGCAGGUGCGAAAGCAGGUCAUAGUGAUCCGGUGGUUCUGAAUGGAAGGGCCAUCGCUCAACGGAUAAAAGGUACUCCGGGGAUAACAGGCUGAUACCGCCCAAGAGUUCAUAUCGACGGCGGUGUUUGGCACCUCGAUGUCGGCUCAUCACAUCCUGGGGCUGAAGUAGGUCCCAAGGGUAUGGCUGUUCGCCAUUUAAAGUGGUACGCGAGCUGGGUUUAGAACGUCGUGAGACAGUUCGGUCCCUAUCUGCCGUGGGCGCUGGAGAAUUGAGGGGGGCUGCUCCUAGUACGAGAGGACCGGAGUGGACGCAUCACUGGUGUUCGGGUUGUCAUGCCAAUGGCACUGCCCGGUAGCUAAAUGCGGAAGAGAUAAGUGCUGAAAGCAUCUAAGCACGAAACUUGCCCCGAGAUGAGUUCUCCCUGAGACUUUAAGUCUCCUGAAGGAACGUUGAAGACGACGACGUUGAUAGGCCGGGUGUGUAAGCGCAGCGAUGCGUUGAGCUAACCGGUACUAAUGAACCGUGAGGCUUAACCUU